UUUUUUAGGUGCCAUCUCAGCCCAGCUCUGGGGAGUUGAGUUACCCAAAGGUUGGGAUGGAGCUGGAGAGCUGGAAAUAUCCAGAUGUGAAGAUCCAGGGUAGCUGCUGCUUUCACUCCCCCAUCUUCAGAAGGAGCAGCUGUGGGGUCCCAGCAGUGGGAGGAGGAGGAGGAGGAUGCAGCAGGUAGGGAACAGGUUUGAUUGGAGCUGCAGCUCCUGCUUUAAAUUGCUUUGGGGAUAACUGAGUGAUUCCUCUCCCUGUGUCCCUUUCCAUGCCCUGUUCCAGGGCUGGCAGUGGACAGGGGUGAUUGCUUUGAAGUGCUCUCCUGCUUUCUGGAUGAUUCACACCGGUAGGAGAGGCUUCCUGCCUUGCCAUGACUUAGGGAAAAGCUCCAUUUCAUAAUGUCUCCUUACUCUUAGCAGGGCUUGUGUCUGUUCCCAAAACUCCCACUGUUUUCACUGCAGGCAUGACCAGACUGUGAAAUAGCUUGGCUGGGCUGGUGAAUAAUCUCUGAGGCUCUUUUAAUAAACUGCAGUUUUAUUUA
Molecule: long non-coding RNA, 545 nt
Organism: Chiroxiphia lanceolata (lance-tailed manakin)
Lineage: Eukaryota; Metazoa; Chordata; Aves; Passeriformes; Pipridae
Exons: 2
Source: RefSeq, a predicted model, not a curated record